CAUCUCUUUUCGUACUUAAGUCUAAUGUAAACCUUAAGAUUGUGUGAGUGAUGUCUAACCGACUUAAAUAUAAUUCAGAGAUUCAAGAAUAAUUGGAAUUGGAACUUAAGAGGACUUGCUGUAUUUCUUAUCUGUACACAUGAGCUGCACAGCAUGGGCAGCAAGCAGAAAGUUUUUAGCUGCUUUACAGGUCCACCUUUUAAGGCUAAUGUGAUUUUUAUACUUAACAGGAUGAAUUAUGUGGUCACUGGGAGGAAGACAAAGACCACUGGAAAACACCCACACAUAGACAGUGGACAAAGGAAGAAAGGUCACUGUUUUCUUCUCCUUUCUGACAUUCAGCCACUGGUUUAUCAGUUUGCUGCCAUGGCACAAGAAAGCGAGGGGAGUCAUCUUUCAGCCCUCCUCUGGAACUGGCUUCUCCCUCCUACAGACAGCCUUUCCCUUGCUGUAAAAUCUUUGUUUAAUGGCUGCAUUCAUUAUGCCGCUACAAAGACAGCUCCAUCUAAACGGUUAACUGGACAUCAAAUUCUGGCACAAAUUUUAAAGUUUCUUGGUCUUCCCACUGUACUCUUUCAAAAUGAAGAAGGUGUAAAGAAGAGUAACUGCGAUUCGUAUGGCUCAGAAAUGCUAAAUAUAGCAAUAAGUUGUUUAUCCUGA
This 660-nucleotide long non-coding RNA is filed under the name Coturnix japonica (Japanese quail). Its description in RNAcentral is "lncRNA (ENSCJPG00005005766.1)". The record is from RNAcentral. Lineage: Eukaryota; Metazoa; Chordata; Aves; Galliformes; Phasianidae.